Molecule: long non-coding RNA, 103 nt
Organism: Cucurbita maxima (winter squash)
Lineage: Eukaryota; Viridiplantae; Streptophyta; Magnoliopsida; Cucurbitales; Cucurbitaceae
Exons: 3
Source: RefSeq, a predicted model, not a curated record
UGUCUUUGUUCUAUCGCUGUAAGUAGAUUGAGAGGUCCUUCUGCCCCUUGUCCCCGAAUAAGGGUCAUAUGUUCUCAUAAAAGGUUGCUCCAAUCUGACCUAG